GUCACUGGCUGAACUGCAUCUGGAUCCAAGGGCUUCAUCCUCAGCAACAGUACCGUGGCCCUAGCCCCAUCUCAUUCUCUGCGUCUCUUCUGCCCUGUCUAGCAGUUAUCAAAAGGAGCCACUUGAGAGAGGUUUACAGGAACAUCUGAGCAAUCCCAUGUGGAUAACUGCAAGAACAAAGGAUUACCCUGUCCCCACCGGGGUGUGGCUGACACCCAGAUGUCUGCAACAUCCAGUCACAACCCCUCCCCUUUGGGUGUAAAAAAAGCCUGAAUUCUAACUCAAGAAAGAUGGUUCUUUGGGAUACGAGUUGACCAUCUUCUUGGUCUGCUGGCUUUCUGAAUAAAGUUUCUAUUCCUUUGUC
Molecule: long non-coding RNA, 364 nt
Organism: Bubalus bubalis (water buffalo)
Lineage: Eukaryota; Metazoa; Chordata; Mammalia; Artiodactyla; Bovidae
Exons: 2
Source: RefSeq, a predicted model, not a curated record